Molecule: long non-coding RNA, 918 nt
Filed under: Salmo trutta (river trout)
Lineage: Eukaryota; Metazoa; Chordata; Actinopteri; Salmoniformes; Salmonidae
Description: lncRNA (ENSSTUG00000036973.1)
Source: RNAcentral
CUCCAGUACAGUAGGUGGCGGUAAUGCACCAUAACGCCGAUAAACCCCACAGAAGAAGAGUAACUUCAGGUCCACCUCCUCUGGCUCACAGGUGUCUUCUCACCUGCCCUAGUCGUCAAUGGACAAAUGCUGUAGCAAGGAUCAUGCUGGGGAAAAGUCUAGUAGCUUUAGUCUUUCUAAUUUGUUGCAUCGUUGGAACCGAGAACAAUAAAGAUAUUUUCAAUGGACAAACAUCUAAACUUUCCAGCUACACGAUUGUAAAGCCUCAGCUUAUUCACAGGAGAUGGGCAAGAGAUGCCGACCGACUUCCUGAAUCGGGGAAGACUGAAGAACCCGAUGAACGUUCUUAUUCACUGAUCAUUGACGACAAGGAACAUUUCCUCCAUCUUAAAAAGAACACAGAGUUUUUAUCCAAAAGCUUUGUUCAGUUUUCCCAUGAUGCCAGUGGGAAUCUGAUGUCUACAUAUCCUAAACCUGAUGUAAGUAGCAGAGAUGACAUUGGGUGGAUUGUGAGGGUAGACUCGGGUGGGAGGGGGACUGACAAGCUGGGUGGGGAGGGCUAGGCAGGAUGCGAGGGGUGGUGGGGGUUAUAUCUAUCUCUGUCUGUCUGUAGUUUGGACACACCUACUCAUUCCAGGGUUUUUCUUUAUUUUUACUAUUUUCUACAUUGUAGAAUAAUAUUGAAUAUAUCAAAACUAUGAAAUAACACAUAUGGAAUCAUGUAGUAACCAAAAAAGUUUUAAACAAAUCAAAAUAUAUUUUAUAUUUUCCAAAGUAGCCACCUUGAUGAGAGCUUUGUACACUCUUGGCAUUCUCUCAACCAGCUUCAUGAGGAAUGCUUUUCCAACAGUCUUGAAGGAGUUCCCACAUAUGCUGAGCACUUGCCGGCUGCUUUUCAUUCAUGUAUACAUGCAUACG